This is a non-coding RNA of Solanum lycopersicum (tomato), 1458 nucleotides long. Lineage: Eukaryota; Viridiplantae; Streptophyta; Magnoliopsida; Solanales; Solanaceae. The record is from RefSeq and is a predicted model, not a curated record.
AUAUUGUAAACAAGACUCUUGAAUACAAUCAUACAAUUUUUUCUCACAAAUUGCAACACUCCCAAUAAAUCUCAAAACUCUUUCAAACCUCUUGAUCAUGUUUUGAUCUUCUCUCUAUGUAAGUGCGCAAUUUUUCUCAAGCGAAACUAUCGCCCUAUAGAUUUGGACUUAAAUCCAAAACCUAUUUCAACUAGAAAUCCUACUUCACGUAGGAGUCCUCUUUUGUGUGGAACUCCUAGUUCACUUCUUCUUCAACUUUAACUUUGUCGCAUCAAAUCCUUGUUGAACUCAACUUUGGCUUCUUAUUCUUAUUUGUCUUUGCUGCAAAAAUCUUACGCUUUUUGUCGCCUCAAAAUUACCCUUAUCUGAAGUUUGUUCACUUGCACUAAUAGGAGUGACUAAAAUUUCAUUCUUGUCAGUUGAACUGGAAGCAAAAUUUGUAACAUCACUUGUCUUUUCUUGUUUGUUGUUGUUGGUGGUGUUGGAAGACACCAUAGUGGUCUUGUUUGGUGAUUCUACAGAGACUUCUUUGAGGCUCAUUUUAGACUCAACUAAUGAAGUUCUAGACAUUCUUGGACUUGGACUUUCACCUAUUUGUUCCUCCCUGUCAAAGUUCAACAGAGGGCCUUGACCUGUUGAGGACUUUGGUUUGAGUACGGACUUUGGUGAUGAUGAACAACUCGAGGCUGUAGGGACUUCUCGGAUUAAAGAUUGUAAGCUGAUCAAGUCUUGAUUGACAGAGCUCUCCGAUGGAAUUCCAGAAGUCGAGGAGCCUUCACUUGCUGAGAACUUUGGUUGAAUCAUAGUGUUGGGAGAGGGGGAUGAAGUAGAGGCCCUCGGAACUUGUUCAACCACCAAAUCAUGUGGUGAUGAUGAUGAUGAUGCUUGUGAACCAUCAAUACUCUGGCUAAUUGUAGAAAAAACUUCUUCAAUAGGCUGUUUACCACCAUUAUCGUGAAGUGCUUCAUGAAUUUCAUUCCUAGGGAGAGACUUUGAAUUUUCUGCAGACUUCUGUGUCUUCGGAUGUGGUACUGAACUUUGCACUGUCGGAUUUCUUAACGUAAGUUUUGAGCUCCGAGUACUGGUUGGAUCACAACUUUCAGCAGUUACUUCAUCUGUCAGCUUAUUUUUUAGUUUGCGCCUAUCUACUUGUUGAGCCUCCAAAUUUGAACUAGAUCCUUUAUCAAUGGAAAAUGUUGGUUGCGAAACAGACUUAGACGAUGAUGUACUAGAAGAGGCUUCAAAUGAGUGAUGUCCUUGUCCAAUAGUCGAAAAUGCCACAGGUUCACUAUGUUGUUCGCUGGCACUGUCUAGAACGAGUGCAGCGACAUCGUUCUCUUUGGCUGAAAUUGAAUUUUCUGUUUCUGAAGCUGAUCAAUACUCGAAGAGGAUCCAUGUUCAAUCAAACAAUUUGGUUGUAGAACAGAUGUCGGUGAUACUAAUGACGUUAAUGCGAAA